UCACUUCAUCUUUCUCUUCUAUUUACAACAUUGACAUUGUUAUCAAUACAUUUACCACCAUGAACAACCAAUUUCAAGCUCUAAAUGUAUAUAAAAUCAACAUCUACAUCUUCAUGGGUAACAUUAUUUUCUUCAUGUUUCAGACGAUCAACUACAAGAUCAUAUCUGAACUUAUUGGUCUUGGAAUCAAGUACUUAGAAGAUUGAGGAAUCACCCCUACCAAUUGUACUCCUUUAGCUCAUGGAAACCCACUCGUUCAAGUUUUUUUCGUCAAAGGUUAUUCUAUUACUCAAGUUUGAGGUGGUAUAGGUAUCAUAUCGUAAAUGAACAACCAACAAGACUAAGGAGUAUAACAUAUCCUGAAAUCUCAAAAUAUUCUCUUCAGCUCUUGUAUCUCCUCCAACUUUGUCGAAAAAAGCGGCCAUGUCUGGGUUCACCUAAGCAUCGCUAUCAAGUCUUCAAAGUCUGCUCCACAUUGCUGACAUGUCGAAUGUUGCAAUGCUAUCAAUUGUUAUUGUAGGCGUUUCCAACUCCAUAUGCAAUGCGGAUUAUCUCUGACUUUGAUUUUUUAUCCCUGUAAGAUGUGUAUGUCCCAUGUUAUCUAGCCACAUCCAUCCACAUUCACUAAAGAUCGAUGUUGCUACUAGGGUUUGGAUCAAAUCAGUAGU
This 668-nucleotide long non-coding RNA is filed under the name Brassica napus (rape). Its description in RNAcentral is "long non-coding RNA (BNAP_LNC026683)". Lineage: Eukaryota; Viridiplantae; Streptophyta; Magnoliopsida; Brassicales; Brassicaceae. The record is from RNAcentral.